CAGGAGCCGUGCGCGCCUAUGGUGAGCCCGUCUGGCUGCAGCCCAAGGGACGGACGGACGCCUUAGAGCUCCUCGGAGAGGGCAGGAAGGUGGGCAGCCAGCGCCCCAAGAGGCCAAGCACCCCACUGCUGGCACAGCAGCUUCAGUUUGAUGUGCACGUUCCAAAGGGGUCGAGGUGAUGAGCAGAAAGCCAUGUAUGCCAACUUGGACUGUUUGAAGGAGCCAUGCAACGUAACUAUACUGAGAAAGAAUAGACGGCUCUUUUGUCGUCACUGCUUUGGAAGAAGUUGGUGUUUGCUGGAAGGAAGAGAUCACGGUCCUGAGACCCUGGAGGUUUGAAUGCUUGCCAGAGAAGUUACAGAUGCAACGAGCUUUCUCUGAACUGCGUCUCUGGAGGCUGUGCGGGUUUCUCUUUGUGAGUCAGGGUGGGCGAGUUGCCGGCAUGCUCGUUCGCAAACCGGACAUCAGCCCACCUUUCUCCGCAAGCAGAAGUGGAGGCUGCGGAGGAGACACGGCUGAAGCUUUCUGAAUGGGAUGGUCAAAAACUGUUUGAGAGCCAGGGGCUCCUUCUGCUCCUGAGGAAUUGUGCAAGUUCCCUUCCCACCUGUGCCUGAAAGGCACCAUCCUUGGACCGUAUCUACUGCCUUUCUCAACCAGGCUUCUGCAACAUCCCCAAAACCCAGUGUUUGCACUUUCUUCCGGGUUUCUCUUCCUCUGCUGGCGAAACUGCUGUGCCUACGAUCUUUUGCAAGUCUUCUGGGUAUUUUGAGCUUUGUACCAGGUCACCUUGUGUAGUUUUGCCGUUGCAUGAACUGGAAAUUUCUGCUGAGCUGGAAACUUUUUUUUUUCUUUUUCCAGGGGUUUGGGAGAUGACACAGAGUCCCAAACCCUGAUCAGCAGAAAAGUUUGACAGAGCCAGCCUUGGGGGAGUUUCUGGUAAUCCACUUUUUCUUUUAGUCUUUACCCUGGUAGCCUCAGUGCCUCCGUGGACGGAAAUCUCACUCUCUCGCUCAUCUGGGUCCCAUUAUGAAGGGGGCUUAGAAGCACAGCCUCAUAACGUAAGAAUUUUGUGGUUCCCUCAGCCCUGCUCGCUCUUUUUUCUUUUCUCUGAACCUCAGCGUGCUUGGCUUAACUUAACAUAACGUAAUUGGGGCAUUUUUGGGAGAUGACAAAACCCUCCUUUCCCUCUCUCUCUCCCGCUCAUGUUGAAGGUACAACAGCUUCGUGCCCUAUUGUUUCCUUGACUGACUCAUUUGGGAAUGCUUUUUUCUCAAAAUGACAAACAAGUUUCUCGAGCUGCCCCGAAACUUGGAUUCUGGCAUCGAUUCGGUGCUGAGAUGCCUCCCUUGAAGCACUCAGCGGACAUGAAUACACUGGGCAUUUUGGCAUUCUUGAGGCAGACGAGGGGCAUCCAUGAAAAUGUCCAAAUGCACUGAGCUUCCGUUUGUGCGUCUGUAUGUCGCAAACUAGAUCUGUGGUUCAUAGCUGCCACUCAGAAGGCUCCCACCACAUCAGAGUGGCCCAGAAAGGAAAACUCUGCCGGCUGCGUGUCUCUGCUCCCAUCAGUGCCGCAGCGAUAGAAAGAAAGUGUAUGGGGCAGAAUUUUCUCUUCAGUGCAGCUGUUAAAGCAACAGGAGUCCCAUCAAAGCCGAUAAAGAUCUGGUACUGCCAAUUUCUUGCAAGAAGGAAUUUUACAGCAUAUUGGUCUGCAGUUGGGUAGUCAUUCAAAUUGUUUUGUUAGCUGAUUUUUCUGCAAAAAAGCUAGGAAGUUUUCUUAGCUGAAUGGGAAAGUAAAAACCUUGCAUGCAAAAGAGACUUGGUUGAGACUUUUUCAGCAAAAAAGGUUUUUUUCUAUCAGACACCACAGUGUCUCUUUAUUAAAGGACUGCCUAAUUCAUCUAA
This is a long non-coding RNA of Varanus komodoensis (Komodo dragon), 1902 nucleotides long. RefSeq lists it as uncharacterized. NCBI's taxonomy places the organism in Eukaryota, Metazoa, Chordata, Lepidosauria, Squamata, Varanidae. The transcript is spliced from 2 exons. The record is from RefSeq and is a predicted model, not a curated record.